RNAcentral lists this long non-coding RNA (1135 nucleotides) under Homo sapiens (human). RNAcentral's name for it is "non-protein coding lnc-MTRR-19:1". The record is from RNAcentral. Lineage: Eukaryota; Metazoa; Chordata; Mammalia; Primates; Hominidae.
GAGGAGAGUUCAGAGCUCAAGAGAAAGGUUGUUUUAAAAGUAAACCUGCGAUUGUUCCAAAGCUGUGGAAUAAGAUGGGUGAGAAGUACAGAGAAGAGGGGUGGACAGCAUCCACAUCACAGGAGAAUAUAUAGCAAAGGAUGUUCUUGAUUUUCUUUCACAGGGAGCUAGAUGAUUCACUGAAGAAAUACACUGCGCGCACUCAGCUUUUAUGAUUAUGCUCUAAAAUGUUUAAUUGCAGAAGCCUUUCAAGUAUUUUUUCCCUAAGCUACUUUAAAAAAAAUCUUUUCAUUUUGCGUUUCAGAGUUGAAACAUGCAUUUUUGCAGAUGAAUGAUUAACAGGACCUAUUUUAUCCUGCUGGAGUGCAGUGGCGGGAUCUCGGCUCACUGCAAGCUCCGCCUCCCGGGUUCACGCCAUUCUCCAGCCUCAGCCUCCCGAGUAGCUGGGACUACAGGCGCCCGCCACCACGCCUGGUUAAUUUUUUUUGUAUUUUUAGUAGAGAUGGGGUUUCACCGUGUUAGCCAGGAUGGUCUCAAUCUCCUGACCUGGUGAUCCUCCCGCCUCGGCCUCCCAAAGUGCUGUGAUUACAGGUGUGAGCCACCGCGCCGGGGCUGUUUUUAUCUUUUUAGUUACUCCUUUUUUUUCCUCCUAAAGGAUAUUCUAUAGCUAACACUCUGUAUCAAUAUACAGAGCUCAUUUUUUGGCUGCAUGUUUCAUUUCACUGUUUAUCUUAAUUCAUUAAUCAUUCCAAUAUUGAUUGACAUUGGAGUUAUUUUCAAUCUUUUACUCUUAGCAAUGCUACAAUGAAUAAUUUUUUCCAUUUUUGCCGGUGUAUCUUUGGGAUAGUCUCUAAGGAACAGGAUUUUUAGGGCAAAGGAUGAGCAUGAUAUUGCUGGCUAUUGUUCAUUUUACUCCCCCGGGCUUGGACUGCUUUUCUUCCCCAGUAGUGCCUAACAGUGCCUGGGUUGCAGCUUGCCAAUCAGGUGAGUGCAUUAUCACACAGUUAGAGAAACGACAUCCCAAGGCAGAUUUGAUUUGCAUUUUGUUUGUUAUAAGUGAGCUUGAGCAGCUUUUCAUGUGUCCAAAGGACAUUUGAAUUUUUUCUCCUCUCCACUGUUUGUUUGUGGUCUUGCC